RNAcentral lists this ribosomal RNA (449 nucleotides) under uncultured bacterium. Its description in RNAcentral is "partial 16S ribosomal RNA". It matches the Rfam family "Bacterial small subunit ribosomal RNA", at positions 29 to 523 of the family's 1533-position model. The record is from RNAcentral.
AACGAACGCUGGCGGCAUGCCUAACACAUGCAAGUCGAACGAACCCUUCGGGGUUAGAGGCGCACGGGUGCGUAACGCGUGGGGAUCUGCCCUUUGCUUCGGAAUAACAGUUAGAAAUGACUGCUAAUACCGGAUGAUGUCGCAAGACCAAAGAUUUAUCGGCAAAGGAUGAACCCGCGUAGGAUUAGCUAGUUGGUGAGGUAAAGGCUCACCAAGGCGACGAUCCUUAGCUGGUCUGAGAGGAUGAUCAGCCACACUGGGACUGAGACACGGCCCAGACUCCUACGGGAGGCAGCAGUGGGGAAUAUUGGACAAUGGGCGAAAGCCUGAUCCAGCAAUGCCGCGUGAGUGAUGAAGGCCCUAGGGUUGUAAAGCUCUUUUACCAGGGAUGAUAAUGACAGUACCUCAUGAAUAAGGACCUGCUAAACUCGUGCCAGCAGCCGCCGUAA